AGUGAACGCUGGCGGCAGGCCUAACACAUGCAAGUCAAACGGCAGCACAGAGGAGCUUGCUCCUUGGGUGGCGAGUGGCGGACGGGUGAGGAAUGCAUCGGAAUCUGCCUAUUUGUGGGGGAUAACGUAGGGAAACUUACGCUAAUACCGCAUACGACCUACGGGUGAAAGUGGGGGACCUUCGGGCCUCACGCAGAUAG
Molecule: ribosomal RNA, 200 nt
Filed under: uncultured bacterium
Lineage: Bacteria
Description: partial 16S ribosomal RNA
Rfam family: Bacterial small subunit ribosomal RNA
Source: RNAcentral